This 497-nucleotide ribosomal RNA is filed under the name uncultured bacterium. RNAcentral describes it as "partial 16S ribosomal RNA". It matches the Rfam family "Bacterial small subunit ribosomal RNA", at positions 28 to 507 of the family's 1533-position model. The record is from RNAcentral.
GAUGAACGCUGGCGGCGUGCCUAAUACAUGCAAGUCGAGCGAACAGAUGAGGAGCUUGCUCCUCUGACGUUAGCGGCGGACGGGUGAGUAACACGUGGAUAACCUACCUAUAAGACUGGGAUAACUUCGGGAAACCGGAGCUAAUACCGUAUAAUAUAUUGAACCGCAUGGUUCAAUAGUGAAAGACGGUUUUGCUGUCACUUAUAGAUGGAUCCGCGCCGCAUUAGCUAGUUGGUAAGGUAACGGCUUACCAAGGCAACGAUGCGUAGCCGACCGGUGAGGGUGAUCGGCCACCCGGGAACUGGACCACGGUCCAGACUCCUAAGGGAGGCAGCAGUAGGGAAUCUUACGCAAUGGGCGAAAGCCUGACGGAACAACGCCGCGUGAGUGAUGAAGGUCUUCGGAUCGUAAAACUCUGUUAUUAGGGAAGAACAAAUGUGUAAGUAACUGUGCACGUCUUGACGGUACCUAAUCAGAAAGCCACGGCUAACUACGCG